This is a long non-coding RNA of Amphiprion ocellaris (clown anemonefish), 865 nucleotides long. NCBI's taxonomy places the organism in Eukaryota, Metazoa, Chordata, Actinopteri, Pomacentridae. The record is from Ensembl.
UCUCUUCGGUUCCCUCACGUUGACGUUCUGUCAGAUCUCAUCGGUUCCCUCACGUUGACGUUCUGUUGGUUCCUCCUUGGUUCCCUCAUGUUGACGUUCUGUCGCGUUUCUUCUCGGUUCCCUCAUGUUGACGUCCUGUCAGUUCCUCCUUGGUUUCCUCAUGUUGACAUUCUGUCACGUUUCUCCUCGGUUCCCUCAUGUUGACGUUCUGUCGGUUCCCCCAUGUUGAAGUUCUGUCGGUUCCUCCUCGGUUCCCUCAUGUUGACAUUCUGUCGGUUCCCUCGUGUUGACUUUCUGUCAGGUGUCUCAUCAGUUCCCUCAUGUUGACGUUCUGUCAGGUUCCCUCAUUUUGACGUUCUGUCAGGUUCCCUCAUGUUGACGUUCUGUCAGGUUCCUUCAUGUUGACGUUCUGUCAGGUUUCUCCUCAGUUCCCUCAUGUUGACGUUCUGUCAGGUUCCUUCAUGUUGACGUUCUGUCGGGUUUCUCCUCAGUUCCCUCAUGUUGACGUUCUGUCAGGUUCCUUCACGUUGACGUUCUGUCAGGUUUCUCCUCAGUUCCCUCAUGUUGACGUUCUGUCAGUUCCCUCAUGUUGACGUUCUGUCAGGUUUCUCCUCAGUUCCCUCAUGUUGACGUUCUGUCAGGUUCCUUCAUGUUGACGUUCUGUCAGGUUUCUCCUCAGUUCCCUCAUGUUGACGUUCUGCCAGGUUUCUCCUCAGUUCCCUCAUGUUGACGUUCUGUCGGUUCCUCCUCGGUUCCCUCAUGUUGACGUUCUGUCGGUUACUCCUCGGUUCCCUCAUGUUGACGUUCUGUCAGUCCCCUCAUGUUGACGUUCUGUCAGGUUUCUCCUCAGUUCCCUCAUGUUGAC